Molecule: long non-coding RNA, 632 nt
Organism: Balaenoptera ricei (Rice's whale)
Lineage: Eukaryota; Metazoa; Chordata; Mammalia; Artiodactyla; Balaenopteridae
Exons: 3
Source: RefSeq, a predicted model, not a curated record
CGCUCCCUCCCGGAAGGCCUCGGGGCAGAGCGGUCCCACCCACUGCGCGCUGAACAGAGCCCGCGUUUCCGCAGAGCUGGAACUCCCGGCUCGGGGUCUCUUCCCUCCUCCGUCACGGAACUGCCCCGGAGCCCGAGGGGAGGGCGGCCUCACUGAGGCUGCCGGCUCUGGAGGGGCCCCGGCGGCCGAAGCCGUGAUAGUCGAGGGGACGGCGGGCCGGGACCCCUGAUUAAUCAGGAAGGUUCCCUGACCUCUGGUGGUGAAAGUGAUGAUGAAAGCAACCAAGGAAGCCCAGCAGAAGCCUAUCACGGGGCUGGGGCUCCCUCUGGAGGAAGCCAGCCAUCAUGUAGUGAGGACAUUCAAUCAAGUAGCAGGUGGACAGACAGGCCCAUGCAGGGAGGAAAUGAGGCCUCCCACUAACAACCAGCACCACCCUGACAGCCAGGUAAGGGAGUGAACCAUCUUGGAAGUGGACCCUGCAGCCUCAGUCCAGCCAUCAGAUGACUGCAGCCCUGGCCGAUAUCUUGAGGACCUCAUGAGAGACCCAGAGCCAGAACUGCCCAAGAUAUCCCCCUAAAGGCUUGACUCAGAAAUUGUGAGGAGUAAAUGUUUAUUGUUGUUUUGAGCCACUA